This is a long non-coding RNA of Astatotilapia calliptera (eastern happy), 1450 nucleotides long. The record is from Ensembl. Lineage: Eukaryota; Metazoa; Chordata; Actinopteri; Cichliformes; Cichlidae.
GGUUGCUUCCUCUAUGGCCCCGAGUUCCCCUGUGCAGACUGCUAAAGUUGAGGAUGUCACCUUAGAAAAUCCAGAAUUACAGGUCCUGUCUUUGUGGAAGAAAAGAGACACAGAGGUUGUGGUUUCUGUGCUUCCCUCAACAAACCAUGGUACGUCCAUAAUUAUACGCCACAGUGAUUUGCGAACCCUUCGACCACACCUGUGGCUAACAGGCGAGGUAAUUGAAAGGCUUUUUCAUUGUCUGGCAAAAAAGGAGCAAAAGGGGAUCUACAUUAUGAACCAUUACACAGCGGGCUUGAUUUUCUUUGGUGAUCGGACACAGCUUUCUCGCCAAAGCUUGCGGAACAUAAGAUGACUGUCCAAUGUCCAUAUAAUUAUGUUCAAAUACAUUUAGAAAGAAUUACUGAUUGAAUGCUAAUAGAAUUCCACAAACUGUAAGAAAUACAUAAAUUUUUUCUGACAGGUAAACUUCGAUCAGUACCAGGCCAUUGUCACGUUUGUUAACAUUAAAAAUGUACACUGGAAGUUUCUGUUCAUCAAUGCAGUGAAUCACACUGUUUAUCUCCUUGAUCCUUCCCCAAGUUCAUCAGAGGAGGAAGACUCUAAACUCGCUGCACGUAAAUUCAGUGAUUACUUAAAAAUGAGGAGAACCCGCCACGCAAAAACAGAAUGGGUCGACAUUAAAUGGAAGGGAGGUGUCUUGACCCAUCCAGUGCUGAAGGAUGGCUUCAGCUGUGGAGUAUUAGUGGUGAUGAUGGCACGGGCAGUGAUGAAAGUAUUUCCAGAUUUGCCCGUCAUGAAAUUUAAAACAUCAAAAGAGAAAAUGGCAGAGGAAAGAAAAUUGAUGGCUGUGGAGAUACUACAAGCAUCAGUUUUUGACACUAACAGCAACUGUGCCAUGUGUUCGCUGACCAAGCCACCUGGAUCAGGACCUUCAAUGAUGAACUGGAUACAAUGUGACGCCUGUCAAAGAUGGUACCAUGAACAGUGCCUUGACAUGACCAACAAUGACUUUCAAAAAGCAAAGGAAGAACCGUGGAAUUGUCUCCUGUGCUGUUAAACCACAGACUUAUUGGAUGCUUGUGUCAAAAUAUUUGAAGACGUACUCUGUUGUCUCCACCAAAGUGAUAAUUUGAGCAACAUAAUACGGUGAAAUGUUUUCAUACAUAUUUCAUUCACAUUUCCCUGAUGUUUUCAUUUACCUUUAAAGCACCUUUAAUGUUAUCAUGACUGCACCUUUUGUAAUUUACAAUUUAUUCUCCUUGUAUCGAGCUGUUCCCUUUUUCUGGGUUUUGUUUUCCAAGAUAAACAGAUUUACCUAUGUUACUUUUAUGAAAAUAGUUAUAUUUCAUAACAUUACAAAUACAAAGAAAAGAUUGUGUCAUUAAUAUGUAAUGACAAGAAAUCCACUUCAGUAAAUUUUAAUAAAUAAAAUCAGAAUGACUUGAUA